GUUUAAUGGUUAGCGACUUACCUUAGGGUUUCCUCUGGGGUAAGUGAUUGCUUCUACACUGUGAAAAUUUGGCUGAGAGACUCAGACUGGUCAUGGGUAGACCUAUCUGGGGUUUGAUCGAUGCCACUCCUGGUUUCAGGAGUACCCUUCAUAAUAAACCUAGAAAUUCAGUAUUAUAAAGUUUAAUAAAAAACAACUUUUAACAAUGGAUCUCUUGGUUCUCGCAUCGAUGAAGAACGUAGCAAAGUGCGAUAACUAGUGUGAAUUGCAUAUUCAGUGAAUCAUCGAGUCUUUGAACGCAGCUUGCACUCUAUGGUUUUUCUAUAGAGUACGCCUGCUUCAGUAUCAUCACAAACCCACACAUAACAUUUGUUUAUGUGGUGAUGGGUCGCAUCGCUGUUUUAUUACAGUGAGCACCUAAAAUGUGUGUGAUUUUCUGUCUGGCUUGCUAGGCAGGAAUAUUACGCUGGUCUCAGGAUCUUUUUUUUUGGUUCGCCCAGGAAGUAAAGUACAAGAGUAUAAUCCAGUAACUUUCAAACUAUGAUCUGAAGUCAGGUGGGAUUACCCGCUGAACUUAAGCAUAUCAAAAGCGGGAGGAA
Molecule: ribosomal RNA, 599 nt
Filed under: Rhizopus arrhizus
Lineage: Eukaryota; Fungi; Mucoromycota; Mucoromycetes; Mucorales; Rhizopodaceae
Description: eukaryotic LSU rRNA
Rfam family: 5.8S ribosomal RNA (bases 195-348)
Source: RNAcentral